GCUGGUCUCAAACUCCUGACCUCAGGUGAUUUGCCCGCCUCAGCAUUCCAAAGUGCUGGGAUUACGGGCGUGAGCCACCAUGCCCAGCCUUAGUUAUUUUUUUAAAGAUAGUUUUGACAUUUGGGAUUGAUCCACUGCUGCCUGAAAACACACAGUCUUUGUGCACAUGCCUGGCAGUGUGGCUUUCUGACAGGUGCCAGCGCCUGAGCUUGGUGGUGCCUGGCAGUGUGGCUUUCUGACAGGUGCCCAGGACCUGUGUUCAGUGGUCGAGGAAAAUUUCCCUAAGGAGCAAACACCCCUGAGGCCACUGCCACAGGAGCAUGAACUCCAAACCCGCGGUGCAGAGAGGCUCAAGGGGCAAGACGCUGCGUUUCAGAAGAUCUACGAUGCGACACUCUCAGUGUGCACCACAGCAUUUGGUCAGAUAUUAAUCUCAGGCCAGGAGCUGAAGCCUCUCACCCGACAGGUCAUCUCGGCUGGUCGCGGGGGCUCAAGCCUGUAAUCCCAGCACUCUGGGAGGCCAAGGUGGGUGGAUCACCUGAGGUCAGGAGUUUGAAACCAGCCUGGCCAAUAUGGCGAAACCUCGUCUCUACUAAAAAUACAAAAAUUAGGCAGGAGUGGUGGCACAUGCCUGUAGUCCCAGCUACUUGGGGGGCUGAGGCAAGGAGGAUGGCUUGAACCUGGGAGGUGGAGGUUGCAGUGAGCCAGGACAGUGCCACUGCAUUUCAGCCUGGACGACAGAUUGAGACUCUGUCUCAAAAAAAUAAAUAAAUAAAAUAGAAUUUACUAUCACUUCCUACUUGACAGAGCGCAACACCAAACCCAGAACCAUCGCCAGGCAGGCCGGAGCACAGCGUGCAAACUCACACCCGAUCAAUUAUCCAGAUGGUUUAGGCAGCGUUCAGUGUCACGCAGCAUAGACACCUGCCUUUUGAGGGGCAGCACUGGCCUCACUGGCCCUCUGACCCUCCCCACAUUUCCCCGUUAAUAAAGCAUGGAAAGGAACAGGGCAAGGGAGAGGACGGAGCAGGCAGCAUGGAGGAAUUUGCUCCAAUGCGCCCAGUCCGGGGAUGGAAGGAGGGUCUGGGAUCUGGCCUGCGCUUUUGCUCACACACAGGACACACUACAGGGGCUGUGGGGAACUGUCAAGGAUGUGGCUGACUCAGCAGCCCCAAGGUGUGCCUUCAUGCAGACGGGCUCACUUGAGGACGAGUAACAGAUGUCAACAUGAAUCCCCGUGGAAACAAACGACAGCCACUGGAACAAGCAGCAGCAGCCACGGACUCCGAGCCUGCAGGAAGGAAGAGGACGGGGCUAAGGCAGAGUCGGAUAACGAGCCCUUCAGCAGAGAGGGGCGCUGUUUUCGGCAUCUUCACAGCAGAGCUUCACGCCGUGUUCUGCCAACCCCACUGGAAGAAGAAACACCUGGAAGCUACGCGGCCAGCCCACGGGCACUUCACCUGCACAUCAAGGGCCUGCCUCAAAGCAGGGAAAGAACGAUAAACUGAGUCCCACCAAACGCUGUUAGCUCUCUAAGCCAGUGCAAGCAAGGCCCCUGCGGGCAACCCACUCGCUGUCCCUCAGACGCCACAUCCGAGGCACACGCUGCAGCCCGCUGGCCUUGCCGCCUACCCCGAUGAAGUGGGACCCACCGAACAACAAAGCCUCCAUUCCCCAGGGUCUUGCAACUCUGCGGCUCCCGUGACGGGGGAAGGUGGGAGGAGCUGCUCAGACACACAGCCUCGCACGCCAACGACGCUCUUCACCGAUGCCGGUAGACAUGUGUGUUGCUUAGCCAGUCUGACAUACACAGGGCAGUGACAGGAAAAGGCCCAUAGGAAAGAGCGUUCAUUCAGACCUGACCCAGAGACCCAGGGCUCUCACACUCUGAGACUGUGACCUGGGAUGAGAAAUACACUGGCUGCUUUACCUUGAAAUGAGCCGCAACUGUGAUCUGGUACACGUCUUUUGUGAGUGGGUGCAGCACAUCGCACAUUUGCAAUUUGGCCCAGGUGUGACAUCUUCUCAAGGGCGUCACCCAGGAAGACAUGGUCCUCAACCACCCUCUUCUAAUUUCUGCAACUGGAGAUACCGGAAGCUUUGAUGUAAGACACCUGGCUUCCAGUUUAGAACAGAUGACUUACGAAACCUGGGAGGCAUCAGCUGAUGUGACAAGUAAAGACAAAUCCUGGCACCAGACCCAAACACAGGAGGGAAUUCCUAGUUCCCCGUGAGGUGGACGGGAAGCAGGGAGGCAGCGGGCACUGUGUUUGAGGAGCUGAGGUUCUUUGAUGCCUUCCACCGCUCU
RNAcentral lists this long non-coding RNA (2308 nucleotides) under Homo sapiens (human). Its description in RNAcentral is "HSALNT0207276". The record is from RNAcentral. Lineage: Eukaryota; Metazoa; Chordata; Mammalia; Primates; Hominidae.